GACGAACGCUGGCGGCGUGCCUAACACAUGCAAGUGGAGCGACGAACCAGGGCUUGCCCUGGAGCAAAGCCGCGAACGGGUGAGUAACACGUGGGUAACCUGCCCCGAUGAUUGGGACAACCCGAGGAAACUCGGGCUAAUACCGAAUGUGCCCUGCCGGCCCAAGCCGGCGUGGGGAAAGGAAGCCUCGGCCUCCGCAUCGGGAGGGGCCCGCGGCCCAUUAGCUAGUUGGUGAGGUAAAGGCUCACCAAGGCAACGAUGGGUAGCUGGUCUGAGAGGACGAUCAGCCACACUGGGACUGAGACACGGCCCAGACUCCUACGGGAGGCAGCAGUGGGGAAUCUUGCGCAAUGCGCGAAAGCGUGACGCAGCAACGCCGCGUGGGGGAAGAAGGCCUUCGGGUUGUAAACCCCUUUCAGGAGGGACGAAGGUGCGGCGGCGAAUAGCCGACCGCACUGACGGUACCUCCAGAAGAAGCCCCGGCUAACUACGUGCCAGCCGCCGCCGUAA
RNAcentral lists this ribosomal RNA (510 nucleotides) under uncultured bacterium. RNAcentral's name for it is "partial 16S ribosomal RNA". It matches the Rfam family "Bacterial small subunit ribosomal RNA", at positions 28 to 523 of the family's 1533-position model. The record is from RNAcentral.